AUGGAGAGAGAACGAGCUCUGAAAUCCUUUAAGAGCGGUAUGACUCCAAUUUUGGUGGCAACUGAUGUUGCAUCACGAGGCUUGGACAUUCCUCACGUGUCUCAUGUCAUCAAUUUUGAUCUGCCAAAAGACAUAGACGAUUAUGUGCACAGGAUAGGCCGAACAGGGCGUGCUGGUAAAUCUGGACUGGCAACUGCAUUUUUCAGUGACAAGAACAUCCCACUUGCAAAGGCACUUGUUGAACUAAUGAAGGAAGCAAAUCAGGAGGUUCCUUUGUGGCUUAGCCAGUACGCUGAAAAUAUAUCUUAUGGAGGUGGUGGCCGAACCAAACGAUAUGGUGCUGGCAGGUUUGGCAGCUAUGACUUCCGUGGUGCCUAUGGUGGUGCUGACAACAGUGCGGAUUCGUAUGCUUCUUCCAGUGCAUAUGUCGAUGCUGUUUCAGCCGGUACAGGUUAUACUGCAGCCACAGAUGAUGCUGGUUACAGUGUUCCUGCCACUGCUGAAUCUCAUUCUGUGGCAUCACAUGGAUAUGAAUUUGAUCACAAAUCAGUUAUUGCUACUGGAUGGGAUUAGAAAUGGAUCCUUCUUACUUUCGGCUCCAUAAUAUAUUAUCGAGUAUAUAACCAAAUAGGAUAACCGGUAAUUUUAAGAACAGAAAAGAAAAGAAAAGAAAGCUGCUGAACGCUAACUGAAGGAUGGACAUAAAGUUGACAAAUUUUAUCCUCGCAGCUUGUAGUUGAUUAUACAGACUACUCAUUACUCAAAGAG
This 768-nucleotide unclassified non-coding RNA is filed under the name Hevea brasiliensis (rubber tree). Lineage: Eukaryota; Viridiplantae; Streptophyta; Magnoliopsida; Malpighiales; Euphorbiaceae. The record is from RNAcentral.